RNAcentral lists this ribosomal RNA (401 nucleotides) under uncultured bacterium. Its description in RNAcentral is "bacterial SSU rRNA". It matches the Rfam family "Bacterial small subunit ribosomal RNA", at positions 917 to 1322 of the family's 1533-position model. The record is from RNAcentral.
GGGCCCGCACAAGCGGUGGAGCAUGUGGUUUAAUUCGAUGAUACGCGAGGAACCUUACCAGGGUUUAAAUGCAGAACGACAGGGGUGGAAACACCCCCUUCUUCGGACGGACUGCAAGGUGCUGCAUGGUUGUCGUCAGCUCGUGCUGUGAAGUGUCGGGUUAAGUCCCAUAACGAGCGCAACCCCCAUUUCUAGUUGCCAGCGGUUCGGCCGGGGACUCUAGAGAAACUGCCAGCGUAAGCUGUGAGGAAGGUGGGGAUGACGUCAAAUCAUCACGGCCCUUACAUCCUGGGCCACACACGUGCUACAAUGGUGGGGACAACAGGUUGCCAACCCGCGAGGGUGAGCCAAUCCCAAAACCCCAUCUCAGUUCGGAUCGGAGUCUGCAACUCGACUCCGUG